GGGUUGUGAGGUUAAGCGACUAAGCGUACACGGUGGAUGCCCUGGCAGUCAGAGGCGAUGAAGGACGUGCUAAUCUGCGAAAAGCGUCGGUAAGGUGAUAUGAACCGUUAUAACCGGCGAUGUCCGAAUGGGGAAACCCAGUGUGAUUCGUCACACUAUCGUUAACUGAAUACAUAGGUUAACGAGGCGAACCGGGGGAACUGAAACAUCUAAGUACCCCGAGGAAAAGAAAUCAACCGAGAUUCCCCAGUAGCGGCGAGCGAACGGGGAGCAGCCCAGAGUCUGAAUCAGCUUGUGUGUUAGUGGAACGGUCUGGAAAGUCCGACGGUACAGGGUGAUAGUCCCGUACACCAAAAUGCACAGGCUGUGAACUCGAAGAGUAGGGCGGGACACGUGGUAUCCUGUCUGAAUAUGGGGACCAUCCUCCAAGGCUAAAUACUCCUGACUGACCGAUAGUGAACCAGUACCGUGAGGGAAAGGCGAAAAGAACCCCGGCGAGGGAGUGAAAAAGAACCUGAAACCGUGUACGUACAAGCAGUGGGAGCACCUUCGGGUGUGACUGCGUACCUUUGUAUAAUGGGUCAGCGACUUAUAUUCUGUAGCAAGGUUAACCGUAUAGGGAGCCGCAGGAAACCGAGUCUUAACUGGGCGUUAAGUUGCAGGGUAUAGACCCGAAACCCGGUGAUCUAGCCAUGGGCAGGUUGAAGGUUGGGUAACACUAACUGGAGGACCGAACCGACUAAUGUUGAAAAAUUAGCGGAUGACUUGUGGCUGGGGGUGAAAGGCCAAUCAAACCGGGAGAUAGCUGGUUCUCCCCGAAAGCUAUUUAGGUAGCGCCUCGUGAACUCAUCUUCGGGGGUAGAGCACUGUUUCGGCUAGGGGGUCAUCCCGACUUACCAACCCGAUGCAAACUACGAAUACCGAAGAAUGUUAUCACGGGAGACACACGGCGGGUGCUAACGUCCGUCGUGAAGAGGGAAACAACCCAGACCGCCAGCUAAGGUCCCAAAGUCAUGGUUAAGUGGGAAACGAUGUGGGAAGGCACAGACAGCCAGGAUGUUGGCUUAGAAGCAGCCAUCAUUUAAAGAAAGCGUAAUAGCUCACUGGUCGAGUCGGCCUGCGCGGAAGAUGUAACGGGGCUAAACCAUGCACCGAAGCUGCGGCAGCGACACUAUGUGUUGUUGGGUAGGGAGCGUUCUGUAAGCCUGCGAAGGUGACCUGUGAGGGUUGCUGGAGGUAUCAGAAGUGCGAAUGCUGACAUAAGUAACGAUAAAGCGGGUGAAAAGCCCGCUCGCCGGAAGACCAAGGGUUCCUGUCCAACGUUAAUCGGGGCAGGGUGAGUCGACCCUAAGGCGAGGCCGAAAGGCGUAGUCGAUGGGAAACAGGUUAAUAUUCCUGUACUUGGUGUUACUGCGAAGGGGGACGGAGAAGGCUAUGUUAGCCGGGCGACGGUUGUCCCGGUUUAAGCAUGUAGGCUGGUUAUCCAGGCAAAUCCGGAUAAUCAAGGCUGAGGUGUGAUGACGAGGCACUACGGUGCUGAAGUAACAAAUGCCCUGCUUCCAGGAAAAGCCUCUAAGCAUCAGGUAACAUCAAAUCGUACCCCAAACCGACACAGGUGGUCAGGUAGAGAAUACCAAGGCGCUUGAGAGAACUCGGGUGAAGGAACUAGGCAAAAUGGUGCCGUAACUUCGGGAGAAGGCACGCUGGUGUGUAGGUGAAGCCCCUGCGGGUGGAGCUGAGACCAGUCGAAGAUACCAGCUGGCUGCAACUGUUUAUUAAAAACACAGCACUGUGCAAACACGAAAGUGGACGUAUACGGUGUGACGCCUGCCCGGUGCCGGAAGGUUAAUUGAUGGGGUUAUCCGUAAGGAGAAGCUCUUGAUCGAAGCCCCGGUAAACGGCGGCCGUAACUAUAACGGUCCUAAGGUAGCGAAAUUCCUUGUCGGGUAAGUUCCGACCUGCACGAAUGGCGUAAUGAUGGCCAGGCUGUCUCCACCCGAGACUCAGUGAAAUUGAACUCGCUGUGAAGAUGCAGUGUACCCGCGGCAAGACGGAAAGACCCCGUGAACCUUUACUAUAGCUUGACACUGAACAUUGAGCCUUGAUGUGUAGGAUAGGUGGGAGGCUUUGAAGCGUGGACGCCAGUCUGCGUGGAGCCAACCUUGAAAUACCACCCUUUAAUGUUUGAUGUUCUAACGUUGGCCCCUUACCGGGGUUGCGGACAGUGUCUGGUGGGUAGUUUGACUGGGGCGGUCUCCUCCCAAAGCGUAACGGAGGAGCACGAAGGUUAGCUAAUCUGGUCGGACAUCAGGAGGUUAGUGCAAUGGCAUAAGCUAGCUUGACUGCGAGCGUGACGGCGCGAGCAGGUGCGAAAGCAGGUCAUAGUGAUCCGGUGGUUCUGAAUGGAAGGGCCAUCGCUCAACGGAUAAAAGGUACUCCGGGGAUAACAGGCUGAUACCGCCCAAGAGUUCAUAUCGACGGCGGUGUUUGGCACCUCGAUGUCGGCUCAUCACAUCCACGGGCUGAAGUAGGUCCCAAGGGUAUGGCUGUUCGCCAUUUAAAGUGGUACGCGAGCUGGGUUUAGAACGUCGUGAGACAGUUCGGUCCCUAUCUGCCGUGGGCGCUGGAGAAUUGAGGGGGCUGCUCCUAGUACGAGAGGACCGGAGUGGACGCAUCACUGGUGUUCGGGUUGUCAUGCCAAUGGCACUGCCCGGUAGCUAAAUGCGGAAGAGAUAAGUGCUGAAAGCAUCUAAGCACGAAACUUGCCCCGAGAUGAGUUCUCCCUGAGACUUUAAGUCUCCUGAAGGAACGUUGAAGACGACGACGUUGAUAGGCCGGGUGUGUAAGCGCAGCGAUGCGUUGAGCUAACCGGUACUAAUGAACCGUGAGGCUUAACCUUACAACGCCGAAG
RNAcentral lists this ribosomal RNA (2911 nucleotides) under Klebsiella pneumoniae. RNAcentral's name for it is "23S ribosomal RNA". It matches the Rfam family "Bacterial large subunit ribosomal RNA". The record is from RNAcentral. Lineage: Bacteria; Pseudomonadati; Pseudomonadota; Gammaproteobacteria; Enterobacterales; Enterobacteriaceae.